GUGUUCACUUUGGUAGCACAUAUACUAAAAUUGGAUUGAUACUAGAAGAUUAGCAUGGUUCUGAAACAAGAAUGGCAUGCAUAUUUGUGAAGCAUUCUAUAUUUUU
Molecule: small nuclear RNA, 106 nt
Organism: Dipodomys spectabilis (banner-tailed kangaroo rat)
Lineage: Eukaryota; Metazoa; Chordata; Mammalia; Rodentia; Heteromyidae
Source: RefSeq, a predicted model, not a curated record